AAGAAAAAGUCUUAAGAAGCGCGUGAAAGAGUGCUGCUGGGUUUCAAUGAGUAUUUUGAAGUGGAAGAAAAGAUGUUGAAAAGAAGAAGGAAAAGCAAGCUUCCUAUCUUUCUACUGUUACUUCUCUCUCAUCUCUCUCUCUCUCUACAUGGUACAUACACAUCUAUCUUCUCGAUGGAUUGAAGCCAUGUCAUCUAUCGUGACCCCAGGAUCACAAAACGAAAUCGAAUUUUAAGGCAGCCACCGUUCCUCCAUCUCCCAUCUCACCACCGUACUCCGUACAUCAUCUCCACCGCAACCGGACGCCACCUCUCGCCAUCACCACCACCUCCGGUCACCAUCAGCACCGCCACCUCCACCCUCCACCCCUGAACACCCUCCCGCCGCUUCUCACCACCUCUUCCAACCGAACCACCAUUACCACCUCCCACCACCGUAGUCACCUCCUCCUCCUCACAACCGGACCACCUCCAGCCGCCGCUCAUCCUCAAACAAACCGGAGCAAACCACCACCGAGAACAUCACCCCACAGCCGCGCUCAUCAUCACCACCUACCGGGACCGCCGUCGCUCCGAUCCGCCACCGAACCUCUUUGAAAACCGUUCACCAGACAAGAGGUAUUGAAGACGGAAUAGAAGGGGCGUAGGCAAGGAAUGAUUUGAUGAAGACCAAGGAAGAGAUUGUCGACUCUGAAUUCCUUCCUCUUAAUUACUCUGACUAAUUUAAAUGGACUUAAUUUUGAGAGCUUCCUGGUCUAUUGGGAAUUGUAAUAUUUUGACAGAUUCAAAAACUUAAAUUAAAUUUGAUAUGGUUGUAAUAUGGUGACACGGGCUUUUGGAACAAUGACGUAGUAAAUCUAUGAAUUUCUCUU
Molecule: long non-coding RNA, 871 nt
Organism: Rhododendron vialii
Lineage: Eukaryota; Viridiplantae; Streptophyta; Magnoliopsida; Ericales; Ericaceae
Exons: 2
Source: RefSeq, a predicted model, not a curated record